RNAcentral lists this unclassified non-coding RNA (335 nucleotides) under soil metagenome. RNAcentral's name for it is "partial contains 5.8S ribosomal RNA, internal transcribed spacer 2, and large subunit ribosomal RNA". The stretch from base 1 to 120 matches the Rfam family "5.8S ribosomal RNA", at positions 35 to 154 of the family's 154-position model. The record is from RNAcentral.
GAUGAAGAACGCAGCGAAAUGCGAUAAGUAAUGUGAAUUGCAGAAUUCAGUGAAUCAUCGAAUCUUUGAACGCACAUUGCGCCCGCCAGUAUUCUGGCGGGCAUGCCUGUUCGAGCGUCAUUUCAACCAUCAAGCCCCCGGCUUGUGUUGGGGACCUGCGGCUGCCGCAGGCCCUGAAAACCAGUGGCGGGCUCGCUAGUCACUCCGAGCGUAGUAAUACAUCUCGCUCAGGGCGUGCUGCGGGUUCCGGCCGUUAAAAAGCCUUAUUUACCCAAGGUUGACCUCGGAUCAGGUAGGAAGACCCGCUGAACUUAAGCUUAUCAAUAAGCGGAGGA